This 1225-nucleotide ribosomal RNA is filed under the name Halimeda distorta. Its description in RNAcentral is "SSU rRNA". It matches the Rfam family "Eukaryotic small subunit ribosomal RNA". The record is from RNAcentral. Lineage: Eukaryota; Viridiplantae; Chlorophyta; Ulvophyceae; Bryopsidales; Halimedaceae.
GCGGUAAUUCAAGCUCCAAUAGCGUAUAUGUAAAUUGUUGCGGUUGAAAAGCUCGUAGUUGGACUUCUGGCGACUGCGUUCGGUCCGCCAAGCGCGUGCACUGUCCGCGGUCGUCGUUUCUGUCGACGUGGCGCGUCGGCCUUAGUUGGUCGGUGCGUCGUCUGUCGGCGAUGUUACUUUGAGGAAAUCAGAGUGCUCAAGGCAAGCGUUCGCUCGUGACUUCACUAGCAUGGAAUAACACAGAUGGGCUCUUUCUCGCACUGUUGGUCUGYGUCAAUUGAGCAACGAUCGAUAGAGACGGUCGGGGGCAUUCGUAUUGCGCAGUUAGAGGUGAAAUUCUCCGAUCUGCGCAAGACGCACUAAUGCGAAAGCAGUUGCCAAGGACGUCCUCUUAUGAUCAAGAGCGAAAGUCGGGGGAUCAAAGAUGAUUAGAUACCGUCGUAGUCCCGACCAUAAAUGAUGCCGACUGAGCUUCGGCGACUCGACCUCAGGUCGUACGUCGGCGCUCUUAGAGAAAUUAAAGUCUUUGGGCUCCGGGGGUAGUAUGGUCGCAAGUCUGAAACUUGAAGGAAUUGACGGAAGGGCACCACAAGGCGUGGAUGUUGCGGCUUAAUUUGACUCAACACGGGAAAGCUUACUAGGUUUGGACACCUUUGUGAUGGACAGAUUGAAGCUCUUACCCUACUGCGUGGAUGGUGGUGCAUGGUCGUUCUCAGCCCGUGGGUUGACCUGUCAGGUUUACUCCGGUAACGCGCGAGACCUCGGUCUGCUAAAUAGACGCGGCUGUUUCGGCACCCGCGCUCUUCUUAGAGAGAGACUCGACGAGAGUCGAGGGAAGUCGAGGCAAUAACAGAUCUGUGAUGCCCUUAGUUAUCCUAGGUCGCACGCGCCAUACAAUGUGGUGCACAACGAGUCUCCUUGGCCGACAGGAUCUGGGCAAUCUGGCAGAGCGCUACGUGACUGGGCUAGACUUUUGUAAUUUUUGGUCUUGAACGAGGAAUGCCUAGUAAUCGCAGGUCAGCAUCCUGCGAUGAUUCGGUCCCUGCCCUUUGUACACACCGCCCGUCGCUCCAUCCGUGGCAUGCGCCGGUGAAGAGGGGGAGGCAGCGUCGGCCGGGUAACACCGGAUCGUACGUGGAACCCCUCUGAACCUUCGCACGUAGAGGAAGGAGAAGUCGUAACAAGGUUUUCGUAGGUGAACCUGCGAAAGGAUCAUUAUCGGCAC